GGACGAACGCUGGCGGCGUGCUUAACACAUGCAAGUCGAACGGUGACGAGGAGCUUGCUCCUCCGAUCAGUGGCGAACGGGUGAGUAACACGUGAGUAACCUGCCCCAGACUCUGGAAUAACAGUUGGAAACAGCUGCUAAUACCGGAUACGAGACGGAGAGGCAUCUCUACCGUCUGGAAAGUUUUUCGGUCUGGGAUGGACUCGCGGCCUAUCAGCUUGUUGGUGAGGUAAUGGCUCACCAAGGCGACGACGGGUAGCCGGCCUGAGAGGGUGAACGGCCACACUGGAACUGAGACACGGUCCAGACUCCUACGGGAGGCAGCAGUGGGGAAUAUUGCACAAUGGAGGGAACUCUGAUGCAGCGACGCCGCGUGAGUGAAGAAGGUCUUCGGAUCGUAAAACUCUGUCCUUGGUGAAGAAAAGGACGGUAGCCAAGGAGGAAGCCCCGGCUAACUACGUGCCAGCAGCCGCGGUAAUACGUAGGGGGCGAGCGUUGUCCGGAUUUACUGGGCGUAAAGGGUGAGUAGGCGGUUAUAUAUGUCAGGUGUAAAAAGCUAUGGCUUAACCAUAGUAAGCACUUGAAACUGUAUGACUUGAGUGCAGGAGAGGUAAGCGGAAUUCCUAGUGUAGCGGUGAAAUGCGUAGAUAUUAGGAGGAACACCGGUGGCGAAGGCGGCUUACUGGACUGUAACUGACGCUGAGUCACGAAAGCGUGGGUAGCAAACAGGAUUAGAUACCCUGGUAGUCCACGCUGUAAACGAUGAGUGCUAGGUGUUGGGUAGCGAUAUUCAGUGCCGGAGUAAACACAAUAAGCACUCCGCCUGGGGAGUACGGUCGCAAGACUGAAACUCAAAGGAAUUGACGGGGACCCGCACAAGCAGCGGAGCAUGUGGUUUAAUUCGAAGCAACGCGAAGAACCUUACCAAGGCUUGACAUCCCCUUGACAGAUGCAGAGAUGUAUCCUCCCCUUCGGGGGCAAGGGAGACAGGUGGUGCAUGGUUGUCGUCAGCUCGUGUCGUGAGAUGUUGGGUUAAGUCCCGCAACGAGCGCAACCCUUAUCCUUAGUUGCCAGCACAAAAGGUGGGCACUCUAAGGAGACUGCCGGUGAUAAACCGGAGGAAGGUGGGGAUGACGUCAAAUCAUCAUGCCCCUUAUGUCUUGGGCUACACACGUGCUACAAUGGUCGGUACAACGGGCAGCUAUGGAGCGAUCCGGAGCAAAUCCCAAUAAACCGAUCCCAGUUCGGAUUGCAGGCUGCAACUCGCCUGCAUGAAGUCGGAGUUGCUAGUAAUCGCGAAUCAGAACGUCGCGGUGAAUGCGUUCCCGGGUCU
Molecule: ribosomal RNA, 1333 nt
Filed under: uncultured bacterium
Lineage: Bacteria
Description: bacterial SSU rRNA
Rfam family: Bacterial small subunit ribosomal RNA
Source: RNAcentral